UGUCUGGUGUUCUAUGUGACAGAAGAGUCUCCGCGAGGAUGAAGGGCAAAAUUUAUAAAAACAGUGGUGAGGCCGGCCAUGAUGUACGAAUUAGAGACGGUGGCAUUGAAGAGACAACAGGAAGCGGAACUGGGAGGUGGCAGAAAUGAAGAUGCUGAGGUUCUCGGUUGGAUCGGAUUAGAAAUGAGCUCAUUAGAGGGACAGCCAAAGUUGGAUGUUUUGGAGACAAGGCCCGAGAGAGCAGACUUCGAUGGUUUGGACAUGUUCAGAGACGAGAGAGUGAGUAUAUUGGUAAAAAGGUUCUGAGGAUGGAGAUUCCGAGCAAAAGAGCGAGAGGAAGACCAAAGAAAAGGUGGAUGGAUGUGGUGUGCGAGGACUUGAUGACUGGAUGUUAGUGAGGAAGAUGCACGAGAUAGGCUUAGAGGGAAAAAGAUGACACGCUGUGGCGACCCUUAAUCGGGACAAGCCGAAGGGAAAAGAAGAAGAUAUCAAAGGGAGGUCACCGCGAUGAAGGCGGUCUCAGAGAAGACCUGAGUGCAGAAGGCCGUGUUCUUGGAGCCGAAGCCGUUGUUCUCGUCCGCCUUGACGAUGUGGACGCGGGGCUGGUAUUUGUGCAUGGAGUUGAGGAUUAUCUGCGCACGGGGAGAUGCAGCUGCGUGUCCUGCGAGGCUGCAAGACGAAAAGUGAGACGAGAAGGUUUCAAUCAUACCUGAAACGAGGUGGCGCUGGCGGCUGGACGGCUCAUUAUCGUCGUCCCAUCCGGACUCCGGGCUGACUGGAUCCUCUGUUCUCCGUCUGCAGGAAGUGGCGAAGGGGGUCCCAGACCUCCUGCACUCAGCAGUGCUCCAAGGCGAGACCUGCGUCCGUGCAGCUGAAGGAAAAACCUGGUCCGCAUUAAUAUGACUUUAUUGCCGUUGUACAUGCGAGGAAACCAAGCCCUCGGCCGCUUUACAAGAAUGAGCUGCUCUUCUUCAGAGACUUAACACAAAGAUGAGUGGUCCACAUUUGGAGGCGAGACCCCUUCAAUUGAGAAUAUGGAAAAAAAUGUGAUCAUAAUUAUAAUAUUAAAGUUCUCAAACAUUUUUUUCGUGUAAUAAUCUCAUAACGUGCCUUUGAAAUGUCCCAAUUUCAUGCCUCCCCCGACAAAUGAAUAUUUUCCAUUGAACUUCAUUUUCUCUGUAUUAUGUGAACGUUACGCAGUACGAAAUUCAUUUUGCCGAAGCUCCCAUAUUUUAAAAAGUAAAAAAUGAAAAGAUAGCAGACACCGUCAAUGAAAAAGCAACAUGUGUGAGCUUGCUGACUGGGUGGAUAUUUUUUUUCUAAUGUUAUUAAAAUAAAAUUAAAUUAAGAUGCACUUAUGAUUCAGUGAGCAAACUGACAACGUGCAAUGUUUGACAAAUACAUUUUGAAUUUUUUUUGAAAGUUUCUUUUUACGUCUGUUGGUGUUUUCACAAUGACAUGCCUGGCAUUCAAAAUGAAGUAAAGUAAACAAGUUUAGACUGACCAUACUGGAGCCAUCUUAAUUUAUUGAUCAGAUGUGGAUGGAUCAUGUUAAAGAAAACACCCAAUUUAUUGAUCAAUUAAUUUAUUGUUAUUCAAGUAGAUUUUGUGUGGGUGUGUGUGUGGGGGGGGGUUGUGUGUGAUUUGUUAGGUGUUUUUUUGCAGCCUUAUUAGAAAUUAAUUACAACAAAUGCCAUCUAACGUGAAUGUCCUGCUAAAAAAAUUCUAUCGAACAUUUCUAAAUAAUUUCUAAAGAACUAUACUUGGUAUACUUUAGGACCCAAGUCCUGUAGAAAUUAUAUUUUUAUGUAGAAAUUCUAUAGAAAAUCACUGCCAAAGUUCUAUAGAACAAGUUGUUCUGUACAAAUUCUAUAGAAUUCUAUAUAUUUCUAUAGAAUUUCAAUAGAAAAUUUUAAGCAUAGUGCUGUAACUUGAGUGACUACAGAGACUCAAGUUUAAUUAUUGAAUAUAAUGUUUCAGUCUUUGCAACAGACAUUAAAAGUUUAUUUUAUUUUAAGUGCAUAUGACCAAAAAAAAAACCAACAAAAAAAAAAAUAAAAACAACAAAACAACUAUUGACCGUUAGGUACAGUUUUACCUUCAAAUGAGUUCUGAAGAUGAACAAUUGUUGCUCGCCGUGGGCUGUAACUUGUGAAGAAU
Molecule: long non-coding RNA, 2160 nt
Organism: Syngnathoides biaculeatus (alligator pipefish)
Lineage: Eukaryota; Metazoa; Chordata; Actinopteri; Syngnathiformes; Syngnathidae
Exons: 4
Source: RefSeq, a predicted model, not a curated record